RNAcentral lists this ribosomal RNA (869 nucleotides) under Neokalmusia didymospora. Its description in RNAcentral is "eukaryotic LSU rRNA". It matches the Rfam family "Eukaryotic large subunit ribosomal RNA", at positions 38 to 919 of the family's 3401-position model. Lineage: Eukaryota; Fungi; Ascomycota; Dothideomycetes; Pleosporales; Didymosphaeriaceae. The record is from RNAcentral.
GCAUAUCAAUAAGCGGAGGAAAAGAAAGCAACAGCGAUAGCCCCAGUAACGGCGAGUGAAGCGGCUACAGCUCAAAUUUGAAAUCUGGCCCCCCUCCGGAGGGUCCGAGUUGUAAUUUGCAGAGGAUGCUUUGGCGUUGGCGGCGGUCUAAGUUCCUUGGAACAGGACAUCGCAGAGGGUGAGAAUCCCGUACGUGGGCGCCUGCCUUCGCCGUGUAAAGCUCCUUCGACGAGUCGAGUUGUUUGGGAAUGCAGCUCUAAAUGGGAGGUAAAUUUCUCCUAAAGCUAAAUACCGGCCAGAGACCGAUAGCGCACAAGUAGAGUGAUCGAAAGAUGAAAAGUACUUUGGAAAGAGAGUCAAAUAGCACGUGAAAUUGUUGAAAGGGAAGCGCUUGCAGCCAGACUUGCCCGCAGUUGCUCACCCAGGCUCCCGCCUGGGGCACUCUUCUGCGGGCAGGCCAGCAUCAGUUUGGGCGGUCGGACAAAGGUCUCUGUCACGUACCACCCUCCGGGGUGGCCUUAUAGGGGAGACGCAAUGCGACCAGCCCGGACUGAGGUCCGCGCGCAUGCUAGGAUGCUGGCGUAAUGGCUGUAAGCGGCCCGUCUUGAAACACGGACCAAGGAGUCUAACAUCUAUGCGAGUGUUUGGGUGUCAAGCCCGGGCGCGCAAUGAAAGUGAACGGAGGUGGGAACCCCUCGCGGGGCGCACCAUCGACCGAUCCUGAUGUCUUCGGAUGGAUUUGAGUAAGAGCAUAGCUGUUGGGACCCGAAAGAUGGUGAACUAUGCUUGAAUAGGGUGAAGCCAGAGGAAACUCUGGUGGAGGCUCGCAGCGGUUCUGACGUGCAAAUCGAUCGUCAAAUUUGGGCAUA